RNAcentral lists this microRNA (20 nucleotides) under Caenorhabditis remanei. Its description in RNAcentral is "crm-miR-785". Its record names the gene crm-miR-785. Lineage: Eukaryota; Metazoa; Nematoda; Chromadorea; Rhabditida; Rhabditidae. The record is from miRBase by way of RNAcentral.
UAAGUGAAUAUUCUGUGUCG